AUCGGCGUUGGAGAUGCCCUAAGGCGCCGAUUUGUACAACUAUUGAACCAAAUUGCACAUCCAGGACAGGGAAUCCACUUCCACACGUAUGUCAGCAUGUCAACUGGCAUGCCUCUGAGACUUGGAACGAAUAGAUCACAAGAGCGAAAGAGACAUUUCUAAUGAAUGAUGUGGACUGAACAACAGUCGACAGAAGCAAGAUCUCGGGCUCUUAACUUGGCGAAGAUCCAUGCAGACUUUUCCGUGCCAUAUGCGAUAAGAGGCGACGAAGUCCGGGGUGGUUGCACCCUAAGUCACUCUCAUGAUCCACAGGUUACAGUCAACGAAGAUUUUAAUUCUCCCUAUCUUCUGGCCGCCCCAGUCAGCAGAGUUCAUCAUGAUCUUUCUCCCCCAAGAAAGAAAGGCAUACCUUUUGGAGCGUUAUAUAUAGGUGCUGAAAGCAUUGCGGCAUGGCAACUCACGGAGGAGCGCGUCGCCAAUCCGGGAAGAUGCUGCCCGACUGUCGCCGCCUGCUUGCUCGGCUUCUCGCCCUCCUCGCGCUGCUGCUGCUGAUCGUCGGUGUACAUGGCCGUAUAGGAUUGAACUGCGGCAGUCAUGGCCUGAUGUGGAGUACUACUUUGAACAUCGUCGCAGAGAACCCAAACGGCUGCACAGGUCUGCCCUCUCCAGACUGUCCAGACUGUGGAUAGCAGCAGGUCUCCCUCCGAAGCAUAUGCCGACGCCGAUGACAUCUCAGGAUGUUCUGUAUCGUUCUACAAGAGUUGAUUUUGUUUCUGUAUGGUAGUAAGAGAGAUAUGAAGGUCACAAUCAUUUGCUUGCUUACGGAAUGUUAGGGAAACAAGGAUAGCUGAAUAUAAGACACAAUUCAUCAA
Molecule: long non-coding RNA, 872 nt
Organism: Triticum aestivum (bread wheat)
Lineage: Eukaryota; Viridiplantae; Streptophyta; Magnoliopsida; Poales; Poaceae
Exons: 2
Source: RefSeq, a predicted model, not a curated record